RNA transcript from Nerophis lumbriciformis (worm pipefish), 3222 nucleotides. It is a transcript of the gene named 3',5'-cyclic-AMP phosphodiesterase 7B-like, with no coding region annotated. Lineage: Eukaryota; Metazoa; Chordata; Actinopteri; Syngnathiformes; Syngnathidae. The record is from RefSeq and is a predicted model, not a curated record.
AAGCGCGAGAGGAAAUGCGGCAGAAGGAGAGAGCAGAUGAACAGAAGUCUGACGAGAGGGAUGCUCUGACUUCAUCACUUUGCUCUCCCCUUUCUCUGUCCUUCAGUUUUUUAACCUUCUGCUGCACAGUCAAGCCUUCUCAUGGUUUUGCCUCCUCUCCUUUUCCACACACUUUAGUUUGAUCCCUCUUCCACCCCGGCAUGCCCGUGCUGGAGGGGCUGUGGAGUCCAGAUCUCAGGCUGGGUGUCGAAGGUGGAGGCUGCCCGGAUGAUGACGCCCCUCGCUCCCCGAUCUGGGGGCCCUUGAAGACCCCGCCGGUCACCUGCGGGGGCUUGUCUCUGGCCCUGGAGCUCCCGGCGCUCAUACGGCAGCUACGGGCAGCGUGGCGGGCGCGCAGAGGAGGACGACCGCGGCAGCCGGAGAGAUGUCAGGAUGGUGCUUGGGUGGAAGCUGGAAAGGGAGAAGCAGAAGAGGAGGAAGAAGAAGUGAAGCUUGACCAGGAAGACAGGAUCACACAUCUGGAAGAUAGCAGACGGACUGCGUGUCAUGGCGGCGUGUUGCUGGCUGAGAGAAGAGGCUCCUAUCCUUUAAUUGACCUGCAUGUCGUUAAGACCAGUGACCAACAGAGAGAGCUAGAGGCUGGCAGAAGGAGGAAGGUGAAGAGUCUGCUGAGAUUCCAGAGGUACUGCCACGCUUCCCGGCUGCUAAGGGGGUUGGUGCCCCGGACGCCCGAGUCUUUGCAUCUGCUGGACGACGACUACCUGGGCCAGGCUGCACACAUGCUGUCAAAAGUUGGCUCUUGGAACUUUGACGUUUUCUUUUUUGAUCGUCUUACAAAUGGUAACAGUCUUGUGACGCUGAUGUGCCACCUCUUCAACGUCUACGGCCUCGUUCACCACUUCCAGCUGGACAUGGUCAAACUGCACAGGUUCCUGAGCACAGUGCAGAGUGACUACCACUCCCAGAAUCCUUAUCACAAUGCUGUGCACGCGGCCGACGUCACCCAGGCCAUGUUCUGCUACCUGCAGGAUCCCAGGCUAGCAGAGCAGCUGACCCCACUGGAUGUGUUCCUGGGUUUGAUGGCGGCCGCCGCCCAUGACGUGGACCACCCUGGCGUCAACCAGCCUUUCCUUAUCAAGACGCGACACCACCUGGCGUCUCUCUAUCAGAACACAUCAGUGCUGGAGAGUCACCACUGGAGGUCCACAGUGGGCAUGCUGCGAGAGUCACGACUGUUGUCACACCUGCCUGCCGAUGUGUCGCAGGGAAUCGAACGGCAGCUGGGUUCUCUCAUCUUGGCCACAGACAUCAGCCGACAAAACGAGUUCCUGCUCACCUUCAGGGAACAUCUAGACAAUCAAGACCUUGAUCUUCAGCUGGCUUCUCACAGGCACUUUAUCCUGCAGAUUGGCCUCAAGUGUGCAGAUGUGUGCAACCCGUGUCGCGUUUGGGAGCUCAGUAAGCAGUGGAGUGAGAGGGUGUGUGAGGAGUUCUACAGGCAGGGUGACCUGGAGAGGAAGUUUGACUUGGAGAUCAGUCCUCUGUGCGACCAACGAGUGGACUCGGUCCCAGCCAUCCAGAAUGGUCAACUUUCAGGCCUCCUGUUGCUCGUCCGGCUCGCCAUCAUUAGCGGAACCAUCUCGCCGCCACGAUGCGGGCUUGAUAUCCAAGACCAUGCCAGAGCAACAGGUGGCGCUACAACCCCCAAGCAGUGAAGCAAUUUCACCCAAUCGGAAGACAGAAGAAAGUCAUUUCUGGAAAAAGAAAAGUGUUCUUCACUCUGCCAUGAAGUACGGUCUCAACAAGUUGGUGACUACAUGUUCCUUGAGGGUCGCGGGGGGCGCUGGAGCCUAUCUCAGCUCCAUUCAGGCGGAAGGCGGGGUACACCCUGGACAAGUCGCCACCUCAUCGCAGGGCCAACACAGAUAGACAGACAACAUUCACACUCACAUUCACACCUAAUAUUAGGCAAAUCUGCACAGUGGUUUUGUUUACUGUGUGUAGACUUUUGUUAACUGUGUGAAAAUGUCAAAUUUAGUGUGUAAGCAAUUGGAAAAAAACUGUACAUUCCAUCAUGGGGGCGGUAUAGCUCGGUUGGUAGAGCGGCCGUGCCAGCAACUUGAGGGUUCCAGGUUCGAUCCCCGCUUCCGCCAUCCUAGUCACUGCCGUUGUGUCCUUGGGCAAGACACUUUACCCACCUGCUCCCAGUGCCACCCACACUGGUUUAAAUGUAACUUAGAUAUUGGGUUUCACACUGUAAAGCGCUAAAGCUAAAAAGCGCUAUAUAAAUAUAAUUCUUUUCACAUAAUUCACAUCAUUAAGAAUGCAUUUGGCAACCAAAGCACCUUCGUGGCACCUUCUGACACUGUUGUUAAAAUUGUGUUUAAUAUUUGCCAUAUUUUGCUGUUAAGUUCUCUUCUGUGCUCUGAUGAUGUUGUUGUUAUUGUGAUGAGGUACUAGCGUCCCCUCCUUCUCACUUCCUACCGCAAAAUCUUUGUUUAUGCCAGUGUGUGUUUGUGUGUGUGUGUGUGUGUUUGUGUGUGUUUGCAGUCAUCCGAUGCCGCUGAUGUGCACGCUCAAAACACGCGUGUAGCAUCCCUCAUCGCCAUCACCACCACUAGGUAACGUCACAGCGCAUCACGCCGCCUGCCUCCUUUUUGUGACGAACUUGUGUCACGUGAUUAUUAUUAUUUUUUUUUUGCAUAACUCCCGCUUCUCUUUUUUUCCGUCGCGUGUGCGCUCUUGUCCACUGCAGACCAGACGUCCACGGAGGGUGCGGACGAAGAGAAGGCAGCGGGUACAGCAAUACAAGGUGUUGGAUUAAUCAGUGUGUGUGUGUUUGUGUGUGUGAGAGGUUCAGGGAUCUGAGCAGCGUGAUGGAGCAACUUGUCUACAUUGGGAAUGUGAGGAAGUGGGAAUCCCCAGCUAACGGCCCUCCAUUGAUAAAAAAAAAAAAAAGAAGGUAUGGCAGAUGGUAUGUGGCGACUGGAUAAGGCCCGCUAUCAUCACUCGGUCUUCUUUAGCGAGUUUUCCCAGAGCAGGUGAAACGUCUCAGACGUGGGUUUGUAAAUGCAACAAUGCAUGUUGACUGUCAACAAUUGUUUCUGAACACAACUUCUUCCACUCGCUCAUUAGUCACAAUAAAAAUGUCCAAAUAGUGGCGGCAAACAAGGCAGUCAACACUCCCUGUCCAUUUUUUUUACAAUCCCACAGCUUCUUAUC